Molecule: long non-coding RNA, 255 nt
Organism: Protobothrops mucrosquamatus (brown spotted pit viper)
Lineage: Eukaryota; Metazoa; Chordata; Lepidosauria; Squamata; Viperidae
Exons: 2
Source: RefSeq, a predicted model, not a curated record
CCCAUUCUGCUAAAAUCUGAUAGAUUAACAUCUGUCUUGCGCCAGGCAUUACAUCCAGGGAUCUGGCUCACCUGGAUCAGAUGUCUUCCCAUUGACCAGUGACUGUUUCCUUCAUCUUCCUUCCCAUUCUAGAGGCAAGCUGUGUUACAGAGAUGGCAUUGAUGAUGGCUUGUUGGAAGGUGAAUGAAUUCAGUGACAGUGCUUGUGCUAAGGAGAUUAAUACAUUCUUUCAAUGUGCAGCAAAAGCAGAAGUAA